RNAcentral lists this long non-coding RNA (775 nucleotides) under Drosophila guanche. The record is from RNAcentral. Lineage: Eukaryota; Metazoa; Arthropoda; Insecta; Diptera; Drosophilidae.
ACUUACGUCUUCAACUGUGGUGUAGGGGCCGAAAGCAGGGAGAUAGCAUAGAGCAUCACUGAUAAACAUAAUUGCAGUAGAGCUUAAAAGUGCAUUCCUAAAGAGAACUCCGAAAGUGGAUCGUAAGCGCAAGUUGUACGCCAAGCUUACGAAAGAGAGUCGCUGCAGUCUUAACACAUGCAAGCGAGAGCGUGGGCUUAUCUUCAAAAAGAGAGUAAGGUAUUGAGAGCAUACAAUUUGCCCUUGACGUUUGACCGAAAUUCCACUCAAUGCAGCGAAAGAUCAUACGAUUGUCCCGUUAAAGCUCUUAAACGUCAUCAGAUCUUCGAGAUUUCUGUUCGGUACAGCCUAGCUUCACUGGGAUAAGUUUUGCUAGAGUUAUUAGCAAAGAGUCGAUCAACAAAACCAGACGUGAUUGUGGCAAAUCUUAUAUACGUAGAUAUAACCUACAAAAAACUUACAUAAUCCCUCGUGGCGAAGUUUUCUUGCAAGCCAUAAAUUCAGAGGAAUCUGUGUUGAUCUGUGCUAGUGCCUAGUGAAAACAAUAAUCAACCAAGGUAUGUCUGCCGUGAGCUAGGAAAGUGACCAGUAUAAUUUAUGCGAAUGAAGUUUAUAGGACAGAGGACAGGAGCCCUAUCUUUCUUAGCAGCCUAAGUGCGCAUAAGUGCAUAUACGGGGUGCUCCACGAGAGGCGUAUCACCGAAGUGAUCCCCCAAUCUACAAGGGGUAGAAUUCGAUUCCCCCCUCUUCUGCUCCGAAACGCCGAGCCCCGAAA